CUCUGCCCGGGCGUCCUCUCGGGUCGGGGUCCUGUCUUUACCCAGGACGCCCGGUCAGCUGCCACGACGCCCCCAGAUCAUGACCCGCAGAGGGUCUCUCGGUCCCGGCACCGAUUCUGAGCCCUGGGUUUCUUUCACUCAAUAUAUGAUUUUGCCUCUGGCAUCAUGAAGAUAAGUAGCAAAUUGAUUUAAGCUGUCAGCAGAUAAAAUUCACCAGAAUUCAAGAGGAGAUUAUUCAUUUGACUCCAGGAACAAUAUGUGAUGAAGAUAUGAACAUCUACUCAGAUGCUGCUCUGCCUCUUAGCAAUAGGGAGCAUGGAGAGAACAUUUUUUAUAAGGGUUUCUUGCACUCGGAAGCAUCUGAUGCGGACAACUUCUUAGCAUGUAUGCAAUGUACGCAGCGCCUGACCAGGAUUCAUCCCUGAAUUUGUUGUGCUGGUUGGAUCAUUAAGUUCUCGGGCUGGGAGACCACUGGUCUGAGGCAGCAUAGCACUUACCUAGGUAGUUACAGUUUCAUUGACAGGCAAGGUUCUUCCCAUAAAACCUCCCAAAUUUUCAGGCUGAUGAUUCCCACAUCACAUGUAAUUUCUACCCACACACCUUCCUUGAAAGCUUCUCCCAUACCUUUAACCUCAGCGAUGGCUAUAUUUGAAUGAACGUUAUCAGAUGAAUUAUCGUCUUCGGGUUACUACUUUGCUGUGGUGCCAACGUGGAAACAGAUGGACUUCCCCAUAUCCAGAAUCUUAGAGUGAAGCCUGAGGUGUAGCACUCCCAUAACCUGCACACACCAAAGGUCAACCAAUUUCAGACUUCAGCUGGAAUUUACAAAUUCAUCCAGGAGGCACAGGGGAGAGAGAGAAGUUGGUUCAAUUAUAUUAAUAAAGUAGGAGCUCUUAUUUGUUCUUUACAGUAUUUAUUGUACAUGCAUAUCUCUGGAAAACAUAAGUCCCUGCUGGAACCCUCUUUCUAAAUCAGAUAUAAAUUACCUUCAGCUACAGUAUGUGCGUUUUAUGUCUAUGAUUAAGAAACAGCAUUAUGCGCUGACUGCCUUCUCUUUGUAAGUUGACAUCAUUUUCUUGAUUUCGGCAAUUGCUUUUCCAGGGUUCAGUCCCUACAAAGACAAAGUGUAACAGUUAGCGGACAGAGAAAUUAACACUACACUUAAUAGAGUUUCCUUUACAUCAACCUGGGUUGGUGUUGUAAGCUCACAGCCACGCCGGCCCCACUGAGACAAGCUGGCAGAGUGUGGGCUGCAAAAUCCACGCCUUCUCAUUUUGAAAAAUAAAAGUAGAGUCCACCUGCUCCCAUGGCAAGCCCCAGUAUGGUGUCUCCUUUUGGUUGUUCGCAUGAUAUGGGUGCACAGGGGAGCCACUCAGUUAUGAUCUGCCCCAGACAAGACAGGCGAUAUCCUGGAUGUCUCUGCAUACCAUAAUGUGAGAAGAUGCAAAGUCACUGCACCCCCAAUUCCAACUUUUCAGGGAAGGAGUGGAGCAAUGUCUGGGGGUGGGGGGGAGCAGAGAGGAAGAGGCAAGCCAGGUGGGGUGAGUGGGGACACAUCCAGCAGGUAGCUGCCUCUCUGCAAUGGUGCCCAAUUCUGACCCUGAUAAAAUCUUCAAAAAAGGCCCUUGUUCAAAUGUUUGCAGCCCCUUCCUGGGCCACAAUAUAUAUUUGUUAGCACCAGCCCAUGUCAUUUUAAGAAACAAAAAUAUUUGUUAUCUUUUGGUCUGAAUAUAGCAAGACCUAACAAGCAGCCACUCAAGGGACUGACAACAAACCUAACGGCUCAGAGAUAAGAUCUCUUGAUUAAGUUGGAGCAGAGUUGUACUCAAUACAUUUGGAGGUAUUUUCACAUGGGCGCCGAAGGCAGGAGCUUGCCUAAUCAAGAUGGUCUCUUGUGUAAGUUUCACUGGAGUCAAGAUACAAAAUCUAAUGUUUUAUUUAAAACUAGGAGAAAAGCAAGAACGGCAUCUUAAAUGGAACCUGAGGGAUAGAAAGCAAAAGCACUUCAGGCUACAACACAAAAAUGAUUCUAGCACACCAUCAUGCUUCUGGUUGUUCAGUUUUCCAAAGGAUUUGUUGUUGUAUUGUAGAGCCACCAUUCAUGCCGUGAAAGGCCUUUAUAUAAUCCUGUAGUGCUGCCUAACUAAAUGAGUAUGCUUAAUCUCAACAUAAAAGGGAAAAAUCACAAGCACCCUGCCAGACCGCUAAUCAUGGAGAAUUCAGAUAUGACCAAGGGAAGACCCAGGGUUACAGUGUCUGGGUUGAAACAUGGUGAUUGUUAACUAAUAAGUCAUAGAUACCGGUAAGAAAUGCAAAACCCAUGAUUUGCUGCUUCAUUAUAAUGCUCCCACAAUUCUCCCUCUCACCUGUGCACGCACACACAGGAUCUUCUGUUAGUAUAGAUGAACAGUGACUUCAAGGGAACUACAUCAGUUCACAUCAACUGAUGAUCUCGCUCCAAAUGUAACUGGUUACCUACAUUCUCUAGAAGUCAGCAAUAAAUGUAACCUGGAAUCACAAUUUAAUACGCACAGAAGCACUGAGUUUUAGUGAUCAGCACUUGUAGAGAUGGAUGAUCCCUGAGAAUCUUACUUCCAAGAGUUAUGUAGUCCUGGAGCAGGCAUUUGCCUCCUGCCUAUUAGGUAGUGGGCUUUCAGUUGUAAAUCUGAUUAGAAGCAAUUUCUUUGCUGUUUUCAAAAAGCUAUAGGGAAGAAUUUCACACCUUUCCAGCUGCAACCCACGUAGAGUUAAAGAAUACUACUAUUUGCAGGAGAGCUAGACCCCUUCAAACUUGAUUAUCUGCCAUGACAACUCACUAGGUCACUACAUGAUGGAGAUUUUACUUUCUGCACAGAUUUGAUUUGAAAAAUUCAUUCCCGUCGUUCUGAAUGUAGCGAUCUGCACGUUAUUAACAAGCAAACUGGGAGCUACCUAAACUGGCCCUGGUAACAGGCUCCCACUGCAUUACAAUUCCCAGACAUAGCUGAAGCCCACUUUAGCCUCUUCACACACUCACACGCUAUACAGCACUUCAGUGAUACCCUGAACGGCAGGAAUAUGAACAGAUACUUAUUUAGAGGAUAAACGUACUGCUCUUGAUGGUCGAACACCAAAAUUUAGAACCACGAUAGACUUCCCUUGCCUACCACAACUCAGUCAAGGCACUGCAGUCCUUACCUGCACCUCCCACUGCUAUUAUAGCCCUAAUCUCUGAAGCAGAGACUACUAAUUGUGCCUAAUUGAGUUGAAGUGCAUGGCAAAUAUUCCCUAAGAAGGCAGCUUUCAAGACUUUCUGGAGUCUUGCAUCCGAUGAAGUGAGCUGUAGCUCACGAAAGCUUAUGCUCAAAUAAAUUGGUUAGUCUCUUAGGUGCCACUAGUACUCCUUUUCUUGGAGCUCAUAAGACUCUUUCCUGGAUUUUUUUCUUAGGGUGGGAGGGAGGUAAUGAGGCCCCUUGCUCAGGGGGUGCAUA
This is a long non-coding RNA of Chelonia mydas (Green sea turtle), 3470 nucleotides long. RefSeq lists it as uncharacterized. The transcript is spliced from 3 exons. The record is from RefSeq and is a predicted model, not a curated record. Lineage: Eukaryota; Metazoa; Chordata; Testudines; Cheloniidae.